AACGAACGCUGGCGGCAUGCCUAACACAUGCAAGUCGAACGAGACCUUCGGGUCUAGUGGCGCACGGGUGCGUAACGCGUGGGAACCUGCCCUUAGGUUCGGAAUAACUCCCCGAAAGGGGUGCUAAUACCGGAUAAUGUCUUCGGACCAAAGAUUUAUCGACUUUGGAUGGGCCCGAGUUGGAUUAGCUAGUUGGUAGGGUAAAAGCCUACCAAGGCGACGAUCCAUAGCUGGUCUGAGAGAAUGAUCACCCACACUGGGACUGAGACACGGCCCAGACUCCUACGGGAGGCAGCAGUGGGGAAUAUUGGACAAUGGGCGAAAGCCUGAUCCAGCAAGGCCGCGUGAGUGAUGAAGGCCGUAGGGUUGUAAAGCUCUAUUAACUGGGAUGAUAAUGACAGUACCGGGAGAAUAAGCCCCGGCUAACUCCGUG
This 433-nucleotide ribosomal RNA is filed under the name uncultured bacterium. Its description in RNAcentral is "partial 16S ribosomal RNA". It matches the Rfam family "Bacterial small subunit ribosomal RNA", at positions 29 to 507 of the family's 1533-position model. The record is from RNAcentral.